CCUACGGGUGACAGCAGUGAGGAAUAUUGGUCAAUGGGCGGAAGCCUGAACCAGCCAAGUAGCGUGCAGGAUGACGGCCCUACGGGUUGUAAACUGCUUUUAUACGGGAGUAAAGCGCCUUACGCGUAGGGCUUUGCAUGUACCGGAUGACUAAGCACCGGCUAAUUCCGUGCCAGCAGCCGCGGUAAUACGGAAGGUGCGAGGGUUAUCCGGAUUUAUUGGGUUUAAAGGGUGCGGAGGCGGGAUGUCAAGCGGGAUGGGAAAUGUGAGGGCUCAAACCGGGCCGUGCAGUGGGAAAUGGGGUGCUUGAGUGAGCGGGAAGAAGGCGGAAUUCGUCGUGUAGCGGUGAAAUGCUUAGAUAUGACGAAGAACCCCGAUUGCGAAGGCAGCUUGCUGGAGCGGAACUGACGCUGAUGCUCGAAAGCGUGGGUAUCGAACAGGAUUAGAUACCCUUGUAGUC
RNAcentral lists this ribosomal RNA (460 nucleotides) under uncultured bacterium. Its description in RNAcentral is "partial 16S ribosomal RNA". It matches the Rfam family "Bacterial small subunit ribosomal RNA", at positions 338 to 795 of the family's 1533-position model. The record is from RNAcentral.